Molecule: long non-coding RNA, 416 nt
Filed under: Bos taurus (domestic cattle)
Lineage: Eukaryota; Metazoa; Chordata; Mammalia; Artiodactyla; Bovidae
Description: long non-coding RNA NONBTAT011926
Source: RNAcentral
GGUUUAGCGUAUCCACUUGCAGAUGCUCCCAGCACAGAAGGGGCCAGAUUCCCUCUAAUGCCAGAUCACCCAGAGAAAGGCUGGUGUACACAUUCCUUCAGAACGAAUUGAGAAGGUGCUUCAUAACUCAGUUGUAGGUAAGAGGUGUUUGGAGAGGAGCUCAAAUCAGUGCUUAUCACCAAGCUGCCUCUUCGGGCUGUUUCCUUUGGAUGGGGGAGGAUAUAUAGUCUGAGGCGGACCUUCUUGGUCCGAGUUCACCAUAGUUGCCCGGAUGCUGCUCUGUCUUGCUUGAUAAUUGAUCUUAGCGUGCUCUAGGGUGCACGGUCGAUCUUUACUUCCAGGCCCCUCCACCCCACCCCAUCCUGGCAGUAGGUCUGUUGGUUUCUUGCCCUGCUCCCAGGCCACCCGGUUGGUGC